UGUAGCGUGGCCGUGCGGUCUAAGGCGCUGGUUUAAUGCACCAGUCUCUCCGGAGGCGUGGGUUCGAAUCCCACCGCCGCCA
This 82-nucleotide transfer RNA is filed under the name Trichonephila clavipes. It matches the Rfam family "tRNA". Rfam says of the family: Transfer RNA (tRNA) molecules are approximately 80 nucleotides in length. The record is from Rfam by way of RNAcentral. Lineage: Eukaryota; Metazoa; Arthropoda; Arachnida; Araneae; Nephilidae.